GCGUGAUCUCCUCGCCCUGGCAGAGCCGGGGUGCCGGGUGGGGGCAGGCUCGGGGGCCUGCCUGCGGUGAAUCAGGCUUGUGACCUCAGGCCGUCCAGGAAACCAGGGCGGUCUUCCAAGCGGGCAGCCACGUUGCCUACUUGAGGCCAAGGCAGAAGCAUCAAUCACAUGGGGCGUAGUUUCUGUCUGGCUAAAGAACGGCUCACGCGGACCUCGGGAAUGCGACUGUGGAAACGACGGGGAAGCUGGAAGGGCUGGGUGGCGGGGGAAGCUGGAGGGCACAGCUUCCAGAUUCCAGUUUGUUAAGAAUCACCUGAAGGACGUUUCUCUGAAGGGAAAGUGGGCAUCUGUGAAGGGUUAGAGGCACAUACUUCAACUUUCCCUAGCACAAGAGUGGAAAUCCAUACUCCUUGGGGAGGGACUUUGUCACUGAACCUUAAGAAAAUGGUUACUGGACUGAGCUUGGUUACUUAUGCCUGUAAUCCUGACGUUUUGGUAGAUGGAAGUGGGAGCAUCGAUUGAGGCCAGGAGUUCUAGCCUAGGCAAUGUAGUGAGACUCUCAUCGAAAAGAAAAUAAAAAAAAGAAGAAAGAAUCUCGUGGCUGUCAUUUUUAAUGUUGCUGGUGUGCAGGGAGGCUGUUUUGACUCUUAUUUCCAUUCUUGGGCCACCGGCAGAGCAGGGCAAAGCUAUGAGGUUACAUAGACCUGGCUUAGACCCCAGUCCCAUUCCCCAGCAGCUUCAGGCCCAAGCAACGGUCUCCAUCUCCCUGAACACAGUCUCCUUAUAGGUAAAAUAACUGCAGAGUUGAUGCUGGAAUUAAAUCAAUGCAGUGGCGAGCCCAGCGCUGCAGAGCCCCGUGCUUAGUGACCAAAAUAAUGUCCCGCCUGCCUCAUCUUCCUCUCGGAUUUUUGCCAAGGCCAAACUGCGCGUGUCCCAGAAAAAAACCCUCGGACACUUGGCCUCUGCCCUGUCUCAGCCGAGUGACUAGGAUGACUGGGAAGUGAAUCACAGGAAAAUCACCCAAGCCCACUCUUCUCCACAGCCGGUGAGCAGAAGGAAGGAAGCAAAGAAGGAAGGGAGGAAGGGAAGAAGGGAGAGUUCAGUUCCCUUUCGUCGUUCACACAGUGGUCCUCCACACCAGGAAACCUAAGGGCUCUGUGGAGGGCCAGGUGCCGUGGCAGCAACACUCCUCAGGGCCUGUUUCAGCACCCCAUUUACGUGGCACAUGAAAAAUUCAGGAUGAACGCCCUGGCUGAAAGCUCUUCCUGGGUUUGGGACAUCAGAAGACCUUCCCGGGAUGGGCUCUUGUCUCUGCAGUAGCUAUGACCUGCACAUAAACCUGUUUCCUACACUGUAAAAUUGGCGUAACCACCAUUCCCUCCCAGUCUUUCUCUGGAGUCCUAAUGGGAACAGUGACGGAAUGAAAGUGACCACGCUGGAACCCGAAGCGCUGUUCCCCUCCGUGGCUUCACACUGAUCUCCACACUAGAAUUCCGUGUCUGCAGUUCAAGUUCAAACUACUGUGGUCGGGGAAGGGCUACAGAGAUCUCGCUUGGCCGUGGAGUCACCGGCCCCGUCCAGUCUUGCUUGGGACACAUACUGGUUUACACUCUCUCGGGUUCAGUUUCCUCAUCUGUAAAUGGGGCUCGUAUCCCCCUCAUAAAGUGGUUUGGGGGAUAAUAAAGCUUGUAAAAGCGCUUUGCCCCAGUGCUUGGCACAUAAUACGCGCUACGUUAACAAUGUCGCGUACACGCCCGAACCGGAGGAACCCCAUUCCACGCUCCUUCUGGAACCGAAUUCACCUCUGAGGCUUUGGGGCUUCAGAGCCGGAGCCGCUUGGGCAAAACCAGCAGAACAGCGAGAGGGAACGGGCUGGUCUAGCCCUGCCCUGAGCAUUUCUACUGAGACCCCCGGUCCUGCUUCUUCCAGCCUCUGCUGGAUUUCUCUCCGACCCCUCUGGAGCGAAGCCCUUUGGCCCUGCGUUGCAUGCGGCACGGUGCGGGUUCGGGCUCUGCGCUGGAGCCGGGAUGCCCUCCGGCGGAGGGUGCGCGUAGGCGGCGCCUGGGCGUGAGCCCCGCCUGCAAGGCUCAGCGUCGGGGAAGCACUUUUCUCGUCGACCCGGGGUCUUUUUCCGCCAAGGAGCUCGGGGCUCAAGAACUCGGGACUGGGCUGUGGGCGGGGCAUGGUUUUCCUCUCUGGGCGUCCUAAUCUCCAAUUUCAGGCAAAUUCGCUAGGAAGAACCUUCCCGAGCGCGCCUUCUCCAACAGGACCUCCAAGCCAGCCUCACGCACGCAGGCCUGGCUCUCUCCUGCAGAAUCCCCACCUGCCCUAUAACUACCCACUUCAGAUAUGGGGGAAUGGAGGAGAUAUUCCAAUCACGCCAUCUACCUACAGUUUCCACGGCCCCUUCUGUUGAAUGGUAUUUUCCUUUAGGGUCCCUAGAAGCAGAGCAAAUGAAAAGGCCAGGGGGAAAAAAAAAAAAAAAAGAAAGAACCGGUGAAUUGGCUCUGAGCCCAAUAAACGGUUCCUCUUUCCUUCUCCGGUCCUUUCCCUUCCAACAGAGCGAUUGAGAAAUCAUUUCAAUAAUCAGCAAAUCGGCUGGGAAAUGGAGAACCAGAAGGGAAUGUCCUAUCCAACAGCGCUUUUUCUUCUCUCAAUAGAAGCCCAGUCUUUCAUUUAGAUAUGAAUAUAGCUACUGUGCAUUUCUCCAUUAAUAAAUAUAAAUUUCCAAACUAGGUGGUGAGGGAUAUGAAUUUCCAUGGUACAUUGGGCCCUAGAGACACCAAGAAGCUUCAGGUCAUAAGGGGGUCUAUUCAGGCUAUGUCCAAGCACAACCAAAUUAUGGCAUUAAAAACAAGAGGUCUUGAUUCAGAUCUUUCACGUUUUAAUAACAGAGGGGGAUGCUGCUGAUAUAGAAAAGUGAUUGAAAAUAUUUGUAAACAUAUACUUCUCACUGGACCUCCAGUCAUGUUGGUGGGUGUGGUAGACAGAAUCAAGUACGUCAACUAGCUGUUUUCUGGUUUAGAAACAAAAAAUACCCCCAGCCCCACCCCCACUCUGGAGUCUUUGCUUCUCAACUACGAAAUGGAAAAAAAAGAACUCAAGUCCCAUUUAGACUGUGGGAGCUCAGCCCAUGAAGGGACUGUGGGAAUUGACAUGGAGAGUUUGGGGUGGAGAGGUGGAAGGGUGGAGGAAAUGAGAUCGGCAGCAGACACUGAGUCAGAGGCCUGAGACUAAGGCCUGGCUCUGUGUCCUUGAUAUCCCCAAGCCUCAGUGUUCACAUCUAUAAGAUGAGGAUAAUAUUGAUCUCACAGAACUGCUGUGAAGAAUCAACCACAUAAUAUAUGUGACGAUGGUUUUUCAUUAUCAGCCUUUCCUUGGCCUGGACCAAAUUGAAAGGAGACUGUGGGGCCAGGCAAGGUGGCUUGGAUCAUGCCUGUAAUACUAGCGCUUUAGGAGGCUGAGGCAGGAAGAUCCCUUGAGACCAGGAGUUUGAGACCAGCCUCAGCAACAUAGUGAG
RNAcentral lists this long non-coding RNA (3520 nucleotides) under Homo sapiens (human). RNAcentral's name for it is "HSALNT0242039". The record is from RNAcentral. Lineage: Eukaryota; Metazoa; Chordata; Mammalia; Primates; Hominidae.